AGCCUCGUAGUUCAGUGAACACAGGGUUGCAAACCUUGAGGCGUAGGUUGAAUCUACCGGGGCUU
This 65-nucleotide transfer RNA is filed under the name Oedipina poelzi (quarry worm salamander). RNAcentral describes it as "tRNA-Cys". It matches the Rfam family "tRNA". From Rfam's summary of the family: Transfer RNA (tRNA) molecules are approximately 80 nucleotides in length. Lineage: Eukaryota; Metazoa; Chordata; Amphibia; Caudata; Plethodontidae. The record is from RNAcentral.